UGAAGAGCAAAUCUGACUAGUGAUAUGGCAAAACCCCUGGAGACUGAAAAAGACAGAGCACUUAUUUCCCUAUUCCAAAGAAACUUUAACAAUAUGCCAUUAAUACACCAUUUUUAGCUCAUAAACCUCUUCCUGUGGCCUGAAGCACUAACAUUCCCAUACCUAGCUGGAAGAUCAGCUUUAGCCACUUAAAAGAUUACCCAGUGGAGACAUAAUCUGGGCUGCCCAUGCUGCCAAGGGAUAUAAACCUUUGCUCAUUCAGUGCAAUGGGAUAAUCAGUAACUGAACAAACCGGCAGAUGUGAGGUCUGGAGUGUUUUCCCCAGCCCACACAAAGACUGAACAACACAGCUCUUCUGUUGUCUGCCUUGUGAAAAUAGACCUCGAGUUCAAGGCUGUGUACAGUGGUUGGAUUUUUCUCAAGCCAUUGGAGUUCCAGCCAUGCCAAGCCCCUGGAGCUGAGGAGAGAUGAUUCUUUUUCUUUUUCUUGCCUCUGAAC
This 498-nucleotide long non-coding RNA is filed under the name Athene cunicularia (burrowing owl). RNAcentral's name for it is "lncRNA (ENSACUG00000013695.1)". The record is from RNAcentral. Lineage: Eukaryota; Metazoa; Chordata; Aves; Strigiformes; Strigidae.